RNAcentral lists this ribosomal RNA (497 nucleotides) under uncultured bacterium. RNAcentral's name for it is "partial 16S ribosomal RNA". It matches the Rfam family "Bacterial small subunit ribosomal RNA", at positions 28 to 507 of the family's 1533-position model. The record is from RNAcentral.
GACGAACGCUGGCGGCGUGCCUAAUACAUGCAAGUUGAGCGCUGAAGGUUGGUACUUGUACCGACUGGAUGAGCAGCGAACGGGUGAGUAACGCGUGGGGAAUCUGCCUUUGAGCGGGGGACAACAUUUGGAAACGAAUGCUAAUACCGCAUAAAAACUUUAAACACAAGUUUUAAGUUUGAAAGAUGCAAUUGCAUCACUCAAAGAUGAUCCCGCGUUGUAUUAGCUAGUUGGUGAGGUAAAGGCUCACCAAGGCGAUGAUACAUAGCCGACCUGAGAGGGGGAGGGGCCAGAUUUGGGAGUGUACCCGGCCCAAACGCAUACGGAAGGGAGCAGGAGGGAGUCGUAGGCAAUGGUUGACAGUCUGACCGAGACGGGUGGAAGGAGUGAACAAGGGUGUCGGAUCGUAACACUCUGUGGGUAGAGAAGAACGUUGGUGAGAGUGGAAAGCUCAGCAAGAGACGGUAACUUACCAGAAAGAGACGGCGAACUACGUG